RNAcentral lists this ribosomal RNA (496 nucleotides) under uncultured bacterium. RNAcentral's name for it is "bacterial SSU rRNA". It matches the Rfam family "Bacterial small subunit ribosomal RNA", at positions 29 to 513 of the family's 1533-position model. The record is from RNAcentral.
AGUGAACGCUGGCGGCAGGCCUAAUACAUGCAAGUCGAACGGCAGCACAGCAGAGCUUGCUCUGUGGGUGGCGAGUGGCGGACGGGUGAGGAAUACAUGGGAAUCUGCCCAGUCGUGGGGGAUAACGUAUGGAAACGUACGCUAAUACCGCAUGCGCCCUACGGGGGAAAGCCGGGGACCGAAAGGCCUGGCGCGAUUGGAUGAGCCCAUGUUCGAUUAGCUAGUUGGCGGGGUAAAGGCCCACCAAGGCGACGAUCGAUAGCUGGUCUGAGAGGAUGAUCAGCCACACUGGAACUGAGACACGGUCCAGACUCCUACGGGAGGCAGCAGUAGGGAAUAUUGGACAAUGGGGGCAACCCUGAUCCAGCCAUGCCGCGUGAGUGAAGAAGGCCCUCGGGUUGUAAAGCUCUUUUGUCCGGAAAGAAAAGCAAUCGGUUAAUACCCGGUUGUUCUGACGGUACCGGAAGAAUAAGCACCGGCUAACUUCGUGCCAGCA